GGCCCUUGUCCAUGGAGGAAUCAAGCCCUUAUUUUUUUCCCGGCGAUUAUACCACAGCAUAGCCAGUCGUCCAACACCCCCAGACACUCUUGAAGAAGUGGAUGACAGAGAACUGCAGGAGCAACUGCAAAGGGUAAUAACUGCAGAAACUCUGGCAGAAGCACGGGAUGCCAUAAUGGAGGCUUCAGGUUCUCUUUGUCUUCUUGGCUGUUCUGCGGGUCUCCGAAGUCUGGAUGAAAAGGAGUACUUUACACAACAAGCUCUAAGGGCAUAUGUCGAAGGAAGGACACAGAAAGCUUUGGAGCAGUAAACAAAAAC
This is a long non-coding RNA of Girardinichthys multiradiatus, 318 nucleotides long. RefSeq lists it as uncharacterized. NCBI's taxonomy places the organism in Eukaryota, Metazoa, Chordata, Actinopteri, Cyprinodontiformes, Goodeidae. The transcript has 2 exons. The record is from RefSeq and is a predicted model, not a curated record.